This 204-nucleotide ribosomal RNA is filed under the name uncultured bacterium. RNAcentral describes it as "partial 16S ribosomal RNA". It matches the Rfam family "Archaeal small subunit ribosomal RNA", at positions 745 to 948 of the family's 1478-position model. The record is from RNAcentral.
UCCUGGCCGUAAACGAGGUGGACUUGGUAUUGGGAUGGCUACGAGCUGUCCUAGUGUCGUAGGGAAGCCGUUAAGUCCACCGCCUGGGGAGUACGGUCGCAAGGCUGAAACUUAAAGGAAUUGGCGGGGGAGCACAGCAACGGGAGGAGCGUGCGGUUUAAUUGGAUUCAACGCCGGAAAGCUUACCGGAGGGGAGACUGCUAG